This 528-nucleotide ribosomal RNA is filed under the name Triticum aestivum (bread wheat). Its description in RNAcentral is "partial small subunit ribosomal RNA". Lineage: Eukaryota; Viridiplantae; Streptophyta; Magnoliopsida; Poales; Poaceae. The record is from RNAcentral.
AUGUUGAUGUCAUUUAUUGGUCAACAUUUAGUGGCAUACACAAAACAGAUGGUGGAAACUUUCAUGGCUUGCUGUUACUUUUCCCAUUACGCAGAUGAAUUAAGGGGACUUGAAUGGAGUACACGAUAUGGAAUAAUUAGAGGCAUCUGUGAAGGUCUGUAUCAUCUGCACAAGGAAAAGCAAAUAUAUCAUAUGGAUAUAAAACCCGACAAUAUACUCCUAGAUAAUGAUAUGGCGCAGAAAAUCACGGAUUUUGGCUUAUCAAGACUUGAUGAAAAGACCAAAACCAUGAGUAAAUACCGUCCUGGAUCAUUACGAUAUUGUGCUCCAGAAUACCUACAUCAGGGGAAGAUGUCAUUCAAAUCAGACAUGUACAGUUUGGGUGUUAUAAUUACCGAACUAGUGACAGGAGAAAAGAUGAUCCCGAAUAAUAAUAACAACAAUAGCAGGGCGGAUCGGGCGACGCCCUGCAUCCCUAGCUACUUGAAGCUCAUCCCAGGCAAAGUUGGUGUCUUUGUCCUACAUUAG